Molecule: ribosomal RNA, 556 nt
Filed under: uncultured fungus
Lineage: Eukaryota; Fungi
Description: eukaryotic LSU rRNA
Rfam family: 5.8S ribosomal RNA (bases 184-337)
Source: RNAcentral
UAAAGAGAUAGGGUCUUCAUGGCCCGACCUCCAACCCUCUGUUGUUAAAACUACCUUGUUGCUUUGGCGGGACCGUCUCGGUCUCCGAGCGCACUAACCCUCGGGUUGGUGAGCGCCCGCCAGAGUCCAACCAAACUCUUGUAUUAAACCAGUCGUCUGAGUAUAAAAUUUUAAUUAAAUUAAAACUUUCAACAACGGAUCUCUUGGUUCUCGCAUCGAUGAAGAACGCAGCGAAAUGCGAUAAGUAAUGUGAAUUGCAGAAUUCAGUGAAUCAUCGAAUCUUUGAACGCACAUUGCGCCCCUUGGUAUUCCGAGGGGCAUGCCUGUUCGAGCGUCAUUACACCACUCAAGCAUCGCUUGGUAUUGGGAACGGUCCGUCGAAAGGCGGGCCUUCCUCGAAGACCUCGGCGGGGUUCAACCAACUUCGGGCGUAGUAGAGUUAAAUCGAACGUCUUAUAAGCUUGGUCGGAUCUCAUUGCCGUUAAACCUUUAAAUUUUCUAGGUUGACCUCGGAUCAGGUAGGGAUACCCGCUGAACUUAAGCAUAUCAAUAAGCC